RNAcentral lists this ribosomal RNA (513 nucleotides) under uncultured bacterium. Its description in RNAcentral is "partial 16S ribosomal RNA". It matches the Rfam family "Bacterial small subunit ribosomal RNA", at positions 28 to 523 of the family's 1533-position model. The record is from RNAcentral.
GAUGAACGCUGGCGGCGUGCCUAAUACAUGCAAGUCGAGCGAACAGACGAGGAGCUUGCUCCUCUGACGUUAGCGGCGGACGGGUGAGUAACACGUGGAUAACCUACCUAUAAGACUGGGAUAACUUCGGGAAACCGGAGCUAAUACCGGAUAAUAUAUUGAACCGCAUGGUUCAAUAGUGAAAGACGGUUUUGCUGUCACUUAUAGAUGGAUCCGCGCCGCAUUAGCUAGUUGGUAAGGUAACGGCUUACCAAGGCAACGAUGCGUAGCCGACCUGAGAGGGUGCUCGGCCACACUGGAACUGAGACACGGUCCAGACUCCUACGGGAGGCAGCAGUAGGGAAUCUUCCGCAAUGGGCGAAAGCCUGACGGAGCAACGCCGCGUGAGUGAUGAAGGUCUUCGGAUCGUAAAACUCUGUUAUUAGGGAAGAACAAAUGUGUAAGUAACUAUGCACGUCUUGACGGUACCUAAUCAGAAAGCCACGGCUAACUACGUGCCAGCCGCCGCAGUAA